RNAcentral lists this ribosomal RNA (328 nucleotides) under uncultured bacterium. RNAcentral's name for it is "bacterial SSU rRNA". It matches the Rfam family "Bacterial small subunit ribosomal RNA", at positions 30 to 355 of the family's 1533-position model. The record is from RNAcentral.
AUUGAACGCUGGCGGCAUGCCUUACACAUGCAAGUCGAACGGUAACGCGGGGCAACCUGGCGACGAGUGGCGAACGGGUGAGUAAUGCAUCGGAACGUACCCAGUAGUGGGGGAUAGCCCGGCGAAAGCCGGAUUAAUACCGCAUACGACCUACGGGUGAAAGGGGGGAGUCGCAAGACCUCUCGCUAUUGGAGCGGCCGAUGUCAGAUUAGGUAGUUGGUGGGGUAAAGGACCUACCAAGCCUGUGAUCUGUAGCUGGUCUGAGAGGACGACCAGCCACACUGGGACGUGAGACACGGCCCGACGACUCCUACGGGAGGGCAGCAGU